UUGCUGGGGGAUUAGUGGCGAACGGGUGAGUAACACGUGAGUAACCUGCCCUUGACUCUGGGAUAAGCCUGGGAAACUGGGUCUAAUACCGGAUAUGACUGUCUGACGCAUGUCAGGUGGUGGAAAGCUUUUGUGGUUUUGGAUGGACUCGCGGCCUAUCAGCUUGUUGGUGGGGUAAUGGCCUACCAAGGCGACGACGGGUAGCCGGCCUGAGAGGGUGACCGGCCACACUGGGACUGAGACACGGCCCAGACUCCUACGGGAGGCAGCAGUGGGGAAUAUUGCACAAUGGGCGCAAGCCUGAUGCAGCGACGCCGCGUGAGGGAUGACGGCCUUCGGGUUGUAAACCUCUUUCAGUAGGGAAGAAGCGAAAGUGACGGUACCUGCAGAAGAAGCGCCGGCUAACUACGUGCCAGCAGCCGCGGUAAUACGUAGGGCGCAAGCGUUAUCCGGAAUUAUUGGGCGUAAAGAGCUCGUAGGCGGUUUGUCGCGUCUGCUGUGAAAGACCGGGGCUCAACUCCGGUUCUGCAGUGGGUACGGGCAGACUAGAGUGCAGUAGGGGAGACUGGAAUUCCUGGUGUAGCGGUGAAAUGCGCAGAUAUCAGGAGGAACACCGAUGGCGAAGGCAGGUCUCUGGGCUGUAACUGACGCUGAGGAGCGAAAGCAUGGGGAGCGAACAGGAUUAGAUACCCUGGUAGUCCAUGCCGUAAACGUUGGGCACUAGGUGUGGGGGACAUUCCACGUUUUCCGCGCCGUAGCUAACGCAUUAAGUGCCCCGCCUGGGGGAGUACGGCCGCAAGGCUAAAACUCAAAGGAAUUGACGGGGGCCCGCACAAGCGGCGGAGCAUGCGGAUUAAUUCGAUGCAACGCGAAGAACCUUACCAAGGCUUGACAUGAACCGGUAAUACCUGGAAACAGGUGCCCCGCUUGCGGUCGGUUUACAGGUGGUGCAUGGUUGUCGUCAGCUCGUGUCGUGAGAUGUUGGGUUAAGUCCCGCAACGAGCGCAACCCUCGUUCUAUGUUGCCAGCGCGUUAUGGCGGGGACUCAUAGGAGACUGCCGGGGUCAACUCGGAGGAAGGUGGGGACGACGUCAAAUCAUCAUGCCCCUUAUGUCUUGGGCUUCACGCAUGCUACAAUGGCCGGUACAAAGGGUUGCGAUACUGUGAGGUGGAGCUAAUCCCAAAAAGCCGGUCUCAGUUCGGAUUGGGGUCUGCAACUCGACCCCAUGAAGUCGGAGUCGCUAGUAAUCGCAGAUCAGCAACGCUGCGGUGAAUACGUUCCCGGGCCUUGUACACACCGCCCGUCAAGUCACGAAAGUUGGUAACACCCGAAGCCGG
Molecule: ribosomal RNA, 1338 nt
Filed under: Paenarthrobacter nitroguajacolicus
Lineage: Bacteria; Bacillati; Actinomycetota; Actinomycetes; Micrococcales; Micrococcaceae
Description: bacterial SSU rRNA
Rfam family: Bacterial small subunit ribosomal RNA
Source: RNAcentral